UAUAAAAGUGCCUUAUAGUGU
This 21-nucleotide non-coding RNA is filed under the name Arabidopsis thaliana (thale cress). Lineage: Eukaryota; Viridiplantae; Streptophyta; Magnoliopsida; Brassicales; Brassicaceae. The record is from RNAcentral.